AUUGAACGCUGGCGGCAGGCUUAACACAUGCAAGUCGAACGGUAGCACGAAGGAGCUUGCUCCUUGGGUGACGAGUGGCGGACGGGUGAGUAAUGCUUGGGAAUCUGGCUUAUGGAGGGGGAUAACUACGGGAAACUGUAGCUAAUACCGCGUAACAUCUUCGGAUUAAAGUGUGGGACCGCAAGGCCACAUGCCAUGAGAUGAGCCCAAGUGGGAUUAGGUAGUUGGUGGGGUAAAGGCCUACCAAGCCGACGAUCUCUAGCUGGUCUGAGAGGAUGACCAGCCACACUGGAACUGAGACACGGUCCAGACUCCUACGGGAGGCAGCAGUGGGGAAUAUUGCACAAUGGGGGGAACCCUGAUGCAGCCAUGCCGCGUGAAUGAAGAAGGCCUUCGGGUUGUAAAGUUCUUUCGGUAGCGAGGAAGGUGGUAAUGUUAAUAGCAUUAUCAAUUGACGUUAACUACAGAAGAAGCACCGGCUAACUCCGUGCCAGCAGCCGCGGUAAUACGGAGGGUGCGAGCGUUAAUCGGAAUAACUGGGCGUAAAGGGCACGCAGGCGGUUGAUUAAGUGAGAUGUGAAAGCCCCGGGCUUAACCUGGGAAUUGCAUUUCAUACUGGUCAACUAGAGUACUUUAGGGAGGGGUAGAAUUCCACGUGUAGCGGUGAAAUGCGCAGAGAUGUGGAGGAAUACCGAGAGGCGAAGGCAGCCCCUUGGGAAUGUACUGACGCUCAUGUACGAGAGCGAGGGGAGCAAACAGG
Molecule: ribosomal RNA, 760 nt
Filed under: uncultured bacterium
Lineage: Bacteria
Description: bacterial SSU rRNA
Rfam family: Bacterial small subunit ribosomal RNA
Source: RNAcentral